AACGAACGCUGGCGGCAGGCUUAACACAUGCAAGUCGAACGCCCCGCAAGGGGAGUGGCAGACGGGUGAGUAACGCGUGGGAAUCUACCUAGUUCUGCGGAACAACUGAUGGAAACGUCAGCUAAUACCGCAUACGCCCUACGGGGGAAAGAUUUGUCGGAAUUAGAUGAGCCCGCGUAAGAUUAGCUAGUUGGUGGGGUAAUGGCCUACCAAGGCGACGAUCUUUAGCUGGUCUGAGAGGAUGAUCAGCCACACUGGGACUGAGACACGGCCCAGACUCCUACGGGAGGCAGCAGUGGGGAAUAUUGGACAAUGGGCGCAAGCCUGAUCCAGCCAUGCCGCGUGAGUGAUGAAGGCCUUAGGGUUGUAAAGCUCUUUCAGUGGGGAAGAUAAUGACGGUACCCACAGAAGAAGCCCCGGCUAACUUCGUGCCAGCAGCCGCAGUAA
RNAcentral lists this ribosomal RNA (447 nucleotides) under uncultured bacterium. Its description in RNAcentral is "partial 16S ribosomal RNA". It matches the Rfam family "Bacterial small subunit ribosomal RNA", at positions 29 to 523 of the family's 1533-position model. The record is from RNAcentral.